Molecule: ribosomal RNA, 2822 nt
Filed under: Triticum aestivum (bread wheat)
Lineage: Eukaryota; Viridiplantae; Streptophyta; Magnoliopsida; Poales; Poaceae
Description: partial small subunit ribosomal RNA
Source: RNAcentral
UUUGGGAGACGGAGGCUCAGAGGUAACGUUAUCAUGUUAUGAGGCAGGGGUCUCUCUCUGCGUUCUGGCAAGCCCCAAAGCGUGCCAGUUUGUUCUUCCGCGGCGGGGGCCUCUUAGAGGAUGGUGAGGGGCCGACUCGCUCGCUCGCUGGCCGCCGCCUCGUACCUCCGGUCCAUGCGCCUCGACGCCGCGCGCCACCUCCUGUGCGGCCGCCACCUGCGCGUGCGCGUGUUGGAGCAGCUGUGCCGGAGGAGGGAGGGGAAGGAGGCGACGAAGAGGCUCCGGCUGCCGCUGCGCGAGCGGAAGCGAGGGGUGAGGGAGAGGAAGUUCUCUUCGGAGUUCCUGUAGCGGCGUAACAUGCCGACACUUCGGAGUGAACUGUUCCACCUUCUCAAGUCUUUCCGGGUUCCCAACAGUAGAUAGCGAAGUUUUACGAAGGUUCGACGGUUAUAUAGUCGCUAAGAGCACCUACUGCCGGAUCAUAAACUAUUUUACGAACUCGACCUUCGGGUGUUCCUUAAACAGGGGUGUCAGCCGUCUCAAGACUCUUAGCUUACCGACCGCCUUUGCUAAUAAUUGCUGCUAAGUAAGUCACCUAGUUCGACCUGCAACCUGAGUAAGUGACUUUGAAAACACCGAUUCGAGUUUAGUCAACGGUCGUUUUAACAACCCAACUUUUCGUAACGACGUAUGUCUUCACCGAAUCUCUAACUAGGUACACAAUCGUUCUGUCUACGUCUCCUACCAGAGGCAUUCCUCGAUUGUCCCGUUUCUGGAGAAGCCUAAUGUUUAUUCUCGGAGUAGCUGAUAGAUAAAUGAACAUCAGAACUAUAACGACACGUCACAGUGAAUGGUUACGUCUAAGUGUGUCCGAAACCUCUAUUUCUGGACCUGAACGCCUUCACGUUAGGAGAUGUAGAGGCACGACAAGAACUCCUACUUUCUAAGCAGUUCACGGUCAAUCAGGAAAAUGUACGAAGAAUAGGUAUAAGAUUCCUUCGUAGGAUAGAACGUAGACAAAUGAGGGUCCAGAUGGAACUAAAGCCAAACCGUUAAGGUUUUGAUUCACAAGUUCCUUACCACAGUAGUGAAUUUCUCGAAGACCUCGAUCGAGGGUAUUUGUUCCAGUACAAGUCAAGUCUACCUAUACGAAAAGGCCUCUGUAUGAUAGAUCCAAGGUCUUCCCGUGCACUACAACAAAUGGCACAGGAUAGUCGACGUACACUUCUACCACUAGAAUCGUAAGUCCUUCGAUGUCUACGUCAACUCCUGUAGAAAUCUUCUUUACGUAGUCUAGACAUAUUCAACUUGCAACGGUUACCCAGUUAAGUGGUCUUUUGAUACUAUCGACUGUCAUCCUAUCGUAGUAGAACACAACUCGUUCUACACGAAAAACAAGCGUAGCAGACCUUACUACGAAGUCCGGUUGUAUCUACGGCGCAACAGGGUCGGCCUUCCAAAAUACUCUAACGUUCCUUAUUCCCACAACCGGACUGAAAACGUAGUUACCCUUACUGAAGGAAAACACUGCCGGGUCGACUACCCUGUUUGGAAUGACCACAUCCGCUCUAGUCCGAAUACGGUCUAUACAGCUGUGAAAACUCUGAGGGUACCAGUUGUGCACUCCUUUACCACUAUCGACUGUACGUUUAAUCCGGACCUCUUCGGACCCUUAUGACAGGAUCUAUACGGAAUUCUUUUCAGUGUUUUCAAGACGACCUACUUAAGUUACACUGUUACUUCCGUCCAAAACUCUUACUUAAAAUAGAGGCGUCUUUUAAUCAUUCACUCCCUGUACUCGCAACCCAAGGUAUACUAUUAUCGUCAAUGACGAGUUGGAGUAGUAAACUACCACGGAGUAGAUAUGAUGUUCUUCACAUAAGAAGAGAAUUUCACCGUUUAUAACACCAACUCGUCGACGUACGGCUUCGACCUUUUCCCGUCAAGCUCCAACGGAACUUCAUACAGGACACGUGAGAACGACGACUGUUAAACUAUAUACGAGCGCUCUAAUAAUUUAGGCAACGAGCUUUCGUACCCAACUAUCGUUGCAAAGAAGGUUUUGGACUGGACUUACUAUAACCUAGCCCAAGGGUACACGUAGACUCAAAUACCUUCUUACUAGUCUUACAAAAAUACCCUAGUUUACUUAUGUCGGUGAUACCUUACAGUUUGCAACCUCUUGUCAAGGAACGACCUCAUAUGGUAGUAGAAGGUAGUUAGAACCGUAAAUGACGAGGAGUGGGAUUGUCGAUGCUAGCAUAAGUCGGUUUAUGUACCUCACCUCGAAUGGAUACGACCCCCUUUCUUUUGGCCCUCCGAGGUAACUCUUGGCGUACGGGUGGACCACACGGAGAGCUGUACCAGUCGUUGAAGCUUUAAUUUAGUAAACUACCCACGCGUUUAGGCGUGAACCCCGAACGACGAUAACAGCGACGACCCUAACUACCUGAAUCCUUUCCGGAAUUCAACGGACUUGGUUAACUUAGUUUAGGACGUCUAAUACGAUGGUUUGAAUUUUCCGAUGGUGUCCUGGAAGACCUUAGACAUCUUAGUGAACGACGUCUGUUUUGAAACGUAGUCGAUUAGCCGCUAUUCGAAUAAUGUCGGUAAUAGCGACAUGCGUUCCGACUCUAACUAGUGAUGAGCUUCUUGGGACCCCGUAAACCGCUAGAGUAAGUGGCAAUGAUUCUGUCUUAUGAACAGAGUUCUGGUGAAAGAGCAAUUCGGCUGUUUAUUACAACGGGUGCUUAAUGACUAAGAGUAGUGACUUAAACGUCAGCAACCACAAAGAAGUCAAUUAUUAUUUCACGAAAAUCUUA